RNAcentral lists this ribosomal RNA (473 nucleotides) under Treponema socranskii. Its description in RNAcentral is "bacterial SSU rRNA". It matches the Rfam family "Bacterial small subunit ribosomal RNA", at positions 29 to 497 of the family's 1533-position model. The record is from RNAcentral. Lineage: Bacteria; Pseudomonadati; Spirochaetota; Spirochaetia; Treponematales; Treponemataceae.
AACGAACGCUGGCGGCGCGUUUAACCAUGCAAGUCGAGCGGCAGGCAGCAAUGCCGAGAGCGGCGGACUGGUGAGUAACACGUGGAUAACGUACCCCGAUGCCCGGGACAGCCUGUAGAAAUAGAGGGUGAUACCGGAUAGAUCACUGUAUACGGAAGGUAGACAGCGGGAAAGGAGCUUGGCUCCGCGCCGGGAACGGUUGCGGCCCAUCAGCUGGACGGCGGGGUAACGGCCCGCCGUGGCGAGGACGGGUAUCCGGCCUGAGAGGGCGGACGGACACAUUGGGACUGAGAUACGGCCCAGACUCCUACGGGAGGCAGCAGGUAAGAAUAUUCCGCAAUGGGGGGAACCCUGACGGAGCGACGCCGCGUGAACGAAGAAGGCCGGAAGGUUGUAAAGUUCUUUUCUGUCCGAGGAAUAAGUUUCGGAGGAAAUGCCGGGACGGUGACGGUAGGGCAGGAAUAAGCACCGGC